GGGCACUUGGCACAGUUGGUAGCGCGCACGCUUCGCAUCAUAUGUUGCGUGAGGUCAGGAGUUCGACUCUUCUAGUGUCCA
Molecule: transfer RNA, 81 nt
Filed under: Rhodocollybia butyracea
Lineage: Eukaryota; Fungi; Basidiomycota; Agaricomycetes; Agaricales; Omphalotaceae
Rfam family: tRNA
About the family: Transfer RNA (tRNA) molecules are approximately 80 nucleotides in length. Their secondary structure includes four short double-helical elements and three loops (D, anti-codon, and T loops). Further hydrogen bonds mediate the characteristic L-shaped molecular structure. tRNAs have two regions of fundamental functional importance: the anti-codon, which is responsible for specific mRNA codon recognition, and the 3' end, to which the tRNAs corresponding amino acid is attached (by aminoacyl-tRNA synthetases). tRNAs cope with the degeneracy of the genetic code in two manners: having more than one tRNA (with a specific anti-codon) for a particular amino acid; and 'wobble' base-pairing, i.e. permitting non-standard base-pairing at the 3rd anti-codon position.
Source: Rfam by way of RNAcentral